Molecule: ribosomal RNA, 445 nt
Filed under: uncultured soil bacterium
Lineage: Bacteria
Description: bacterial SSU rRNA
Rfam family: Bacterial small subunit ribosomal RNA
Source: RNAcentral
AACGCGAAGAACCUUACCUGUCCUUGACAUGCAAGUAGUAGAAGGAUGAAAGUCUGACGAGGUAGCAAUACCAGCUUGCACAGGUGCUGCAUGGCUGUCGUCAGCUCGCGUCGUGAGAUGUUGGGUUAAGUCCCGCAACGAGCGCAACCCCUGUGUCCUGUUGCCACCCCUUAACUGGGAGCACUCUGGACAGACUGCCUCGCUUCAACGAGGAGGAAGGUGGGGAUGACGUCAAGUCAAGUAUGGCCCUUACGGCCAGGGCUGCACGCCGUACUACAAUGCCCGGCACAAAGGGAAGCAAGAACGUAAGCUGGAGCAAAUCCCCAAAAACCGGGCCCAGUUCAGAUUGUCGUCUGCAACUCGACGGCAUGAAGCUGGAAUCGCUAGUAAUGGCGCAUCAGCUACCGGCGCCGUGAAUACGUUCCCCGGGUCUUGUACACACCGA